RNAcentral lists this ribosomal RNA (492 nucleotides) under uncultured bacterium. RNAcentral describes it as "partial 16S ribosomal RNA". It matches the Rfam family "Bacterial small subunit ribosomal RNA", at positions 29 to 507 of the family's 1533-position model. The record is from RNAcentral.
AGUGAACGCUGGCGGUAGGCCUAACACAUGCAAGUCGAACGGCAGCACAGUAAGAGCUUGCUCUUACGGGUGGCGAGUGGCGGACGGGUGAGGAAUACAUCGGAAUCUACUUUUUCGUGGGGGAUAACGUAGGGAAACUUACGCUAAUACCGCAUACGACCUACGGGUGAAAGCAGGGGAUCUUCGGACCUUGCGCGAUUGAAUGAGCCGAUGUCGGAUUAGCUAGUUGGCGGGGUAAAGGCCCACCAAGGCGACGAUCCGUAGCUGGUCUGAGAGGAUGAUCAGCCACACUGGAAGUGAGACACGGUCCAGACUCCUACGGGAGGCAGCGGUGGGGAAUAUUGGACAAUGGGCGCAAGCCUGAUCCAGCCAUACCGCGUGGGUGAAGAAGGCCUUCGGGUUGUAAAGCCCUUUUGUUGGGAAAGAAAAGCAGCAGGUUAAUACCCCGCUGUUCUGACGGUACCCAAAGAAUAAGCACCGGCUAACUUCGUG